Molecule: ribosomal RNA, 495 nt
Filed under: uncultured bacterium
Lineage: Bacteria
Description: partial 16S ribosomal RNA
Rfam family: Bacterial small subunit ribosomal RNA
Source: RNAcentral
GACGAACGCUGGCGGCGUGCCUAAUACAUGCAAGUCGAACGCUGAAGGAGGAACUUUCUCUUCUGGAUGAGUUGCGAACGGGUGAGUAACGCGUAGGUAACCUGCCUGGUAGCGGGGGAUAACUAUUGGAAACGAUAGCUAAUACCGCAUAACAGUAGAUGUUGCAUGACAUUCACUUAAAAGAUGCAAUUGCAUCACUACCAGAUGGACCUGCGUUGUAUUAGCUAGUUGGUGGGGUAACGGCUCACCAAGGCGACGAUACAUAGCCGACCUGGGAAGGGGGUCGGCCACACUGGGACCGGGAAACGGCCCAGGCUUCUACGGGAAGCAGCAGGAGGGGAUCUUCGGCAAUUGACGGAAGGCUGAACGGGCAAAGCCGCGUGAGGGAAGAAGGGUUUCGGAUCGGAAAGCCCCGGUGUAAGGGAAGAACGAGAGUGAGAGUGGAAAGUUCACACUGUGACGGUAUCUUACCAGAAAGGGACGGCUAACUACGUG